This 699-nucleotide long non-coding RNA is filed under the name Phoenix dactylifera (date palm). RNAcentral describes it as "long non-coding RNA (PDAC_LNC009586)". Lineage: Eukaryota; Viridiplantae; Streptophyta; Magnoliopsida; Arecales; Arecaceae. The record is from RNAcentral.
AGUAUCUUCCAAUGAAAUCCAACCAAGUUCAACAGAUAUUAAUUAUAAGAUAGGAACAAAAGCUGUUGCUUAAAGCUGAAGCACUAUCCGAUGUGUCGAUCAGUGGCUAGAAGAGCCAUAAAGUCGUGCAGACGGACAUCACUAGAAGAGCCAUCCUUGGUGAUUAAUGUUGAAAGUAAUGCGCCGAAACUGUAUCCAUCAAUUGAGGGACGCACAACACCUAGCCGUCAGCCCAGAAAAUAAUUAUAGUCACCAAGAUAUCAAGGUAAGUUGUAAAGGAAUGCCGAACUAAAGAUCGAGCAUUUAAACUUUUUUGAAAAAAAAUUGAAAGGAUGGUCUGAAACUAGCUGAAAAAACCUAGAAGAAACUUCGUGGGGAGAACUGGGGCAUUUAUACCGACCCAAUGCCUGAAUAGAGACUCUAACAUCUACGUACUCGAGAAAUCAAAACCUCCACAAAAAUAAAAGGUUAUUAUAAUCGGGCUAUCUAAUCUUUUACAUUAAGAUGUAUUUAUUUUUUUAAAAAAAGGCAGAGAGAAUUAUACAAAGGAGGUAGGUAUAUAUUAAGGAAGGGAAAAAGAAACCUAACGAAGGACUGGAAGUUUUGGAAUUAAAGGUCGGCGUAUACCAAAGUUCACCGGAGAGAGGCUCCUUUCCUUGCCAAGAACGCGCCGGAAGCAGGAAGAGAGAAGCCUUAGAC